UACGUAGGGGGCAAGCGUUGUCCGGAUUUAUUGGGCGUAAAGGGCUCGUAGGCGGCCAACUAAGUCGGGUGUGAAAUCUCAGAGCUCAACUCUGAAACUGCACUCGAUACUGCUUUGCUUGAGGACUGGAGAGGAGAUUGGAAUUCACGGUGUAGCAGUGAAAUGCGUAGAUAUCGUGAGGAAGACCAGUGGCGAAGGCGGAUCUCUGGACAGUUCCUGACGCUGAGGCGCGAAGGCCAGGGGAGCAAACGGG
RNAcentral lists this ribosomal RNA (253 nucleotides) under uncultured bacterium. RNAcentral's name for it is "partial 16S ribosomal RNA". It matches the Rfam family "Bacterial small subunit ribosomal RNA", at positions 524 to 776 of the family's 1533-position model. The record is from RNAcentral.